This 897-nucleotide ribosomal RNA is filed under the name Triticum aestivum (bread wheat). RNAcentral's name for it is "partial small subunit ribosomal RNA". The record is from RNAcentral. Lineage: Eukaryota; Viridiplantae; Streptophyta; Magnoliopsida; Poales; Poaceae.
GUUCUCCGCAUUGACACAUCCAUCUCGGUUGGCUCCGGGGCGUCGACCCUGUUCUGGUUCGAUCGUUGGCUAGGGGACUCCCCCCUGGCCGCUCGCUUCCCGGAACUAUUCGCCAUAACGGUUGACCCUCGGGUCUCUGUGGAGAUGGCCCUUAUUGACUUAGGGCGUCUCGCCUUUCGGCGAUCCUUCGGUCCCCAAGAGGUGGCCGCCUGGGACUCCCUCCUCCAGGACAUCGCGCUUCUUCCGAUGGACGCCGAGGACGCCCUGGACUCCAUCUCUUGGCGUCUAGAGUCCUCUGGACACUUCUCCACUAAAUCCUUAUACGCGGCCAUCGCUCCCUCGACGGCUCCUGAGCCCUUUAGUCUAAUCUGGGACAUUCGCCUUCCUUUGAAGAUCCGGAUCUUCCUGUGGCAGUGGAUUCGGGGACGCCUUCCCUCUGAGGUCGAGGUCCUCAAAUGUAGUGGACCAGGAGAUGGGAUAUGUCCCAUGUGUGGCACGGUCGAGGAUGCUAAUCACAUCUUCUUCUCUUCCUCCACAACCCAAUUCCUGUGGUCCUGUUUUCGCGAGAUGAUUGGUGGACAGUGGUGUAAUACCAACUUCCCCGACUUACUUGCUGAGAUUCACGCCUCCCACCCUCGCUACCGCCACAUUCGUUGGUUGUUCGUUGGGGUUCUCGCCUGGAUGCUUUGGACCAUCCGCACCAAGCUUGUCAUUCAGAAAGUGCCUCUUCGACGUGCGACUGAUGUUGUCUUCAAAAUGUGUGGUUUCUUGCAGCUCUGGCGGCCGCUUAGCCGCCCCCAGGACCGGGACGUCAUGAACACCCUCCUCGCUGACCUUUGCUCGAUGACAGUCCGCAUGGCGCCCCCGCUGCCGCCCCCUCCUCCGGAGCCCGAUUAG